UAAAUUUUCAAAUUUGAAACAUGAGGUUCACCCAGCGUUUUAAAUAUCGUAUUACACGAGAUUUGGUGAUGGAAUCUGUUUCUCUAUUGAUUUUCAAACAAUACACAGGCAAACUUAUUCCUUUCUAUGUGACGUCAUCAGGCAUGGUGGCCUUUUUUCAUGCUAUCACAAUAAGUAAUUCAGAGGAACAAGAAAAUUCAACAUCAUAAUUGGAUUUUAACCAAUGCAGAACUGUGAUCAAACGAACAACACAUUGAUUAAGUUUUGUUUUUAAAAUGG
Molecule: long non-coding RNA, 279 nt
Filed under: Mytilus galloprovincialis (Mediterranean mussel)
Lineage: Eukaryota; Metazoa; Mollusca; Bivalvia; Mytilida; Mytilidae
Source: RNAcentral